CAGUGUUGGGCUUACAUCAUUUUCUGUGGGCUUUUUUAGAAUCAAUGAAAGUGAAAUUUUAGAUAUAUACUUUGAGCAUAAAUUUGUUGGAAUAUUUUAUUAUUAUGUGAACAAAUAUUUUUAUAUUAUAUUAACUUUUUUAUCAAAUAACAACUUAAUUGAGUAUUGAAUGAAUUAAAUAAUGACUAGUUAAAAAAAU
This 199-nucleotide long non-coding RNA is filed under the name Lathyrus oleraceus (garden pea). RNAcentral's name for it is "Pisum sativum (pea) long non-coding RNA (PSAT_LNC035103)". The record is from RNAcentral. Lineage: Eukaryota; Viridiplantae; Streptophyta; Magnoliopsida; Fabales; Fabaceae.